Molecule: non-coding RNA, 222 nt
Organism: Schizosaccharomyces pombe (fission yeast)
Lineage: Eukaryota; Fungi; Ascomycota; Schizosaccharomycetes; Schizosaccharomycetales; Schizosaccharomycetaceae
Source: the annotation of a GenBank genome assembly
GAGGAAGAGCUAUCGUUAACAGGAGUAAAAGAUUGUUUGUGAAACGUAUGGAAUCGAUUCUUCCAAGUAUUUUUGCUUAACGGAAAUGUGGCUGUAGGAGACUCAAUUUGUUGCUGCUUGUUAACUUUUUGUAACGGAGAUAUAGAAGGUGAAAUAGGAAAGAAAGAAUCGUCAUACUUCAUCGGCGAUUCAAAACUCGUAAACGAGGAAAAACUUCGAUUU